GCCUGGGUGGCUGAGUCAGUUAAGCGUCUGACUUCCACUCAGAUCAUGACCUCACAGUUUGUGAGUUUGAGCCCUGCAUCGGGCU
Transfer RNA from Felis catus (domestic cat), 85 nucleotides. It matches the Rfam family "tRNA". Rfam says of the family: Transfer RNA (tRNA) molecules are approximately 80 nucleotides in length. The record is from Rfam. Lineage: Eukaryota; Metazoa; Chordata; Mammalia; Carnivora; Felidae.